CCUACGGGAGGCAGCAGUGGGGAAUAUUGGACAAUGGGGGGAACCCUGAUCCAGCGACGCCGCGUGAGUGAAGAAGUACUUCGGUAUGUAAAGCUCUAUCAGCAGGGAAGAAAGAAAUGACGGUACCUGACUAACAAGCCCCGGCUAACUACGUGCCAGCAGCCGCGGUAAUACGUAGGGGGCAAGCGUUAUCCGGAUUUACUGGGUGUAAAGGGAGCGUAGACGGAGAUGAAAGUCUGAGGUGAAAGGCGGGGCCCAACCCCCGGCCUGCCUUGGAAACUGUAUGGCUUGAGUGCAGGAGAGGUAAGUGGAAUUCCUAGUGUAGCGGUGAAAUGCGUAGAUAUUAGGAGGAACACCAGUGGCGAAGGCGGCUUACUGGACUGUAACUGACGUUGAGGCUCGAAAGCGUGGGGAGCAAACAGGAUUAGAUACCCGUGUAGUC
This 442-nucleotide ribosomal RNA is filed under the name uncultured bacterium. RNAcentral describes it as "partial 16S ribosomal RNA". It matches the Rfam family "Bacterial small subunit ribosomal RNA", at positions 338 to 795 of the family's 1533-position model. The record is from RNAcentral.